UUACGGUCAAAUCACGCUGAAAACACCGGUUCUCGUUCGAUCACCGAAGUUAAGCAUCGUAGAGCCAGGUCAGUACUUAGAUGGGGACCGCUUGGGAACACCUGGUACUGUAAUC
This 115-nucleotide ribosomal RNA is filed under the name Acanthosepion pharaonis. Lineage: Eukaryota; Metazoa; Mollusca; Cephalopoda; Sepiida; Sepiidae. The record is from RNAcentral.